RNAcentral lists this ribosomal RNA (640 nucleotides) under uncultured bacterium. RNAcentral's name for it is "bacterial SSU rRNA". It matches the Rfam family "Bacterial small subunit ribosomal RNA", at positions 10 to 658 of the family's 1533-position model. The record is from RNAcentral.
AGUUUGAUCCUGGCUCAGGAUGAACGCUAGCGGCAGGCCUAAUACAUGCAAGUCGAACGGUGAUAGCAAUAUCAUAGUGGCGCACGGGUGCGUAACACGUAUGCAACCUACCUAUUAUUGGGGGAUAGCCUUUGGAAACGGAGAUUAAUACCGCAUAAUACGAUUGACUGGCAUCGGUUGAUUGUUAAAGCUUCGGCGAUAAUAGAUGGGCAUGCGUCCAAUUAGUUAGUUGGUUAGGUAACGGCUGACCAAGACGAUGAUUGGUAGGGGAUCUGAGAGGAUAAUCCCCCACACUGGCACUGAGAUACGGGCCAGACUCCUACGGGAGGCAGCAGUAGGGAAUAUUGGGCAAUGGGCGGAAGCCUGACCCAGCCAUGCCGCGUGCAGGAAGAAGGCGUUAUGCGUUGUAAACUGCUUUUUUAUAGGAAGAAGGAUCCCUUGCGAGGGAAGGUGACGGUACUAUAAGAAUAAGCACCGGCUAACUCCGUGCCAGCAGCCGCGGUAAUACGGAGGGUGCAAGCGUUGUCCGGAUUUAUUGGGUUUAAAGGGUGCGUAGGCGGUUUAUUAAGUCAGUGGUGAAAGACGGUCGCUCAACGAUUGCAGUGCCAUUGAUACUGGUAGACUUGAGUGAGAUUGAGGU